Molecule: ribosomal RNA, 253 nt
Filed under: uncultured bacterium
Lineage: Bacteria
Description: partial 16S ribosomal RNA
Rfam family: Bacterial small subunit ribosomal RNA
Source: RNAcentral
GACGAACCACACGAACGUUCUUCGGAAUUACUGGGCUUAAAGGGUGCGUAGGCGGCGCGGACAGUUGGGUGUGAAAUCCCUCGGCUUAACCGAGGAACUGCGCCCAAAACUACCGUGCUCGAGGAAGAUAGAGGUGAGCGGAACUUACGGUGGAGCGGUGAAAUGCGUUGAUAUCGUAAGGAACACCUGUGGCGAAAGCGGCUCACUGGGUCUUUUCUGACGCUGAAGCACGAAAGCUAGGGGAGCAAACGGG